Arachis ipaensis is the source of this 861-nucleotide non-coding RNA. The record is from RefSeq and is a predicted model, not a curated record. Lineage: Eukaryota; Viridiplantae; Streptophyta; Magnoliopsida; Fabales; Fabaceae.
UUCUAAAAUUUGCUCAAAACGGUGCCGUUGGUUAGAGGAACCCUAACCAGUAACCAAAACGCGCAGCACCUCCUUGGCCUCUCCUCUCUCACAGUCUCACUCAGCCACUCUCCUCCUUCCUCUCAUCGAGCUCCUCCUCACUCCCUCACUUCCCUCUCUCUUGCCUCUGAACGAACACACUGAAGAACGCAGAGAAGACAGAAGAGAACUCGGACGCAGCUUGGAGGAAGCACCGAAGCAGCCAUCUCUCGUCGCCGUUCCUCAACGUCCAGCCACCGCCGCUGCUACAGCUUCGGCGCAACGUCGCCCUUGUUCGCCGCGCAUCCGCCUCCUUUUUGGCCAAGCUUCUGCGUCUGUUUUUUGGCCAACCCUUGUUCGAACUGCUUAGCCCUCUGUUCAGUCCUCUACGCCGCGUGUUCGAGCCUCUGUUCAGCCUCUGUUCCGCGGCCUUUCAGCCACCGUUCCGCCAUUGUCUGCCUCCAUUCAGCCAUCUCCGUCGCGAUUUAAAGCUCCUCCCUUUCCCUGUACUGUUUGAAUUUCAGAACUGGUCCAUCCUAGGAGUUGGCGUGUUUGGAGAGUCUUGACAUUUCUUGCAGUAAAGUCGCUAAUUUUGGCAUCAGCUUUCUAAAAGGGUACAUCAUCAACUGUUAACUAUGACAAAAUCUUGGCUAAUGCGGUUACCAAGACCAACAUACUUGUUGUUGAAGGGUAUCUAUUUGAACUACCCGAUACUAUUAGAGCAAUAACAGAAGUAUGUCAGAAAGCUCGCAGUAACGGUGCCUUAGUUGCAGUAACAGCCUCAGAUGUCUCCUGCAUUGAGAGACACUAUGAUGAUUUCUGGGAAAUUAUUGGGAAUCAUGC